Molecule: ribosomal RNA, 486 nt
Filed under: Xanthomonas sp. oral taxon 037
Lineage: Bacteria; Pseudomonadati; Pseudomonadota; Gammaproteobacteria; Lysobacterales; Lysobacteraceae
Description: bacterial SSU rRNA
Rfam family: Bacterial small subunit ribosomal RNA
Source: RNAcentral
AGUGAACGCUGGCGGUAGGCCUAACACAUGCAAGUCGAACGGCAGCACAGGAGAGCUUGCUCUCUGGGUGGCGAGUGGCGGACGGGUGAGGAAUGCAUCGGAAUCUACUCUUUCGUGGGGGAUAACGUAGGGAAACUUACGCUAAUACCGCAUACGACCUACGGGUGAAAGCCGGGGACCUUCGGGCCUGGCGCGAAAGAAUGAGCCGAUGCCCGAUUAGCUAGUUGGCGGGGUAAGAGCCCACCAAGGCGACGAUCGGUAGCUGGUCUGAGAGGAUGAUCAGCCACACUGGAACUGAGACACGGUCCAGACUCCUACGGGAGGCAGCAGUGGGGAAUAUUGGACAAUGGGCGCAAGCCUGAUCCAGCCAUACCGCGUGGGUGAAGAAGGCCUUCGGGUUGUAAAGCCCUUUUGUUGGGAAAGAAAAGCAGUCGGUUAAUACCCGAUUGUUCUGACGGUACCCAAGAAUAAGCACCGCUAAUUCCA